AAAGCGUCUGCUAAAUGCCCUAAAUGUAAAUGUAAAUAUUAAAAAUCAAUGUAUGUGUAUUUAUAUCCAUCCUGUUUCAUCACACAUUCACCCUGUAAAUUGUAAAAGAUCAGGUUAUAGACAUGAUUAUUAUGUUCUAGGAGAAGGUUGUAUCAUCCGAUAUAUGAAUAUGUAUUGCUCUCUAACAAAUAACUCCAAAAAAUAUUUGGUAUGUUUCUAUGAAAACUUCUUUAUUUUUUAUUUUUAUUCCCGUACUUGUUCUUUCAAUUUGUUUUGCUGAUCUUCAUUUAUUUUAUUACUUUCUUUCUUCUUAUACGAAGAAAAUUCUAUAAUUUCUACUGAUUUUAAGGUAUCCCAUGAAAUGGGUGUUCUCAUUUCAUUGCAUUUUCAAAGAAUUUAUACAUUAAAAUUCAAGUGUGCAUAGGAAGCCUCAGAUAACUUUCUUUUGGCAUCACCCCUUCACAUUUCAUUGUGUGAGUACUUUCUCAGUAAUGACAAAGCUGCCUCAUGUUAAAUAUUUUUCACGUGUCUCAUUACAGUACGCCUGGUAUUUUGCCACAGGGGCUACUUUUGACUUCAGUAUUCAUGACACGUCUUUUCCUGAGAUGGUGGUGGUGUGUUGUCCUGGUGGAAAACCUUGGGCUGGAAGGGUAUGGGAGGAAGUUCGCCCACUUUACUGAGGAAGGAAAAUCAACCCUCCGAGACAAUGUCCCACCUGUCUUCAGGAAAACGAAACUAAAAAGAACACUUUCAAGCUGCACAGUGAUGCCAUUGGACUCUGACGAGGACCAUGCUUACAAUAAGAGGCCUUACAGCUUUCCCUCUAAGGAGAUGGGCAGUGGAGUUACCAUGGACAAAGAUGUCUUCAGCUUCAAAGAAGACACAUCUCUCAUUUAACAAACCAUUAAGUCAUUUAUUGGUACAGGCUUUAAUAAUUAAAAUACUUUUGGUAUGGAGCUUUUUAUAUUCUAAGGUUUAUGCCAAUAUUUGGAGGUGAGAACAUGAUGCUACUGCAUUUAAAGUCUCUAGUGCAAUCUGCUGUCUUCACCUGUAGCCAAUAUGUAUCAUCACAAUGUUCGAGUUGUGGCUUACGACACACACAUCUUUGGAUUUAUUGGGCGCUUUUCAAUACAAUAAUAAGGGUCCAAGUACUGAUUCUCUGUUGCCACUGGUUUACUUUUAUUUCUUUUCUAGAUAGGAAUAGUCUGAAAUGUCUUAACCAUGAGAUUUUUACAAAGCUGACAAAAUUAAUAAAAACAUGCAUUUAACAGAUUUAACAGAGGCUAUGUGGCUUUCCUUAAGGAGAAGGAGAGGAGAUGCUCUUUGCGUCUGAGUUCAUGAUCCAGGUUGAUCCACAACCAGUCACAACAUUCCUAAAAGCUGUUGUGUGUUAAGCUGCACGCUCAAUAAAAGUUAUUCAAAUGUUAAAACGGUUUGUAAACCUAAGAAAAAGCUGUGAUCCCUUACGAAGGAAACGGUGGAUAAGAAGAGAGGCACCAGGAUCAGUAGCCUACAUGACAAAACUGGAGGAAAACUUUGAGACCCCUAUAUGUGUAGUAGAGGUAUUUGGGUAUGGUCGGUACCGUUUGCAGCAGGCCUAAACCAUAGGUCCAUGGUCUCAACGAGUCGCGUUUUUAAUCCAUCACUGAGACAGAAAGUGGACAUUUAAGAUGUCAAUGGGUGGAUUAUUUUUUAACACAAACAGCUCGUAUGGACAGACAAGAGUCGUGGCUUUAAACAUAGUAACGUGUAUUUGUGAAAGGCAUGUUUUAUUACGUUUUUAUUAAGUUUGUUUGCAUUCUAUACAAAGUGAAUGGAGCUCUGUUUAAAGUCAGUAACGUGUAUUUAUGAAGGCCAUGUUUUAUUACGUUUUUAUUAAGUUUGUUUGCAUUCUACGCAAAGUGAAUGGAGCGCUGUGCAAAGUGAAUGGAGCGCUGUAGCACUGUUUAUUGUUUUCCCCCAUGAUGGCCACCAUAGAACGAGCAAUGGGCGUGUUUGGCAGAGCAAUGGGCGUAUUUGGCAGAGCAAUGGGCGUGUUUGGCAGAGCAAUGGGCGUGUUUGGCAAGUGGCUCCGGCUGCAGAUAGACCUACUUGAAAAAUGCCAAUACAUUGGGAUUGGGAUUUUGUCAGACAUUCUUUUUUCUCAUUUAUUUAUAAAUCCCCAAAUAAUUUAGGCAGGAGCAUCUAUCAGUCAAAAAUGCAUCUCACAUUUACACCUUAGUCAGUUAGUUCAGUAUGGCAUUGCAUGUGGUUUUAGAAAUAUAAGUCUGAGUGUAUGACUACACCAAGAUUUCUGUCUUGGUGUGUGCUUUCUAACAUAACAGCUGUGUACUGACUUUUAAUUGUUCAUCCCUUGCACCAAAGACCAUUACUUCAGUUUUUUCAUUGUUCAAUUGAAGACAAUUUGGCACAUCCAGUGAUUGAAGUAGUUAUUUAGCUGUUGAUAAACAGCUUUUCAAUGAUUUUGCUUAAAAAUGGUAAGUUAGAAAUGGCUUGAUGACUGUUGUUUUUUCAGAGCCUGUAGGAAUCACCUGUGUGAUAUCGCCACUGCAGGCAACAUGAAUAAAAAAAUAUAUAAUAAUAUACAAAUA
Molecule: long non-coding RNA, 2591 nt
Organism: Gadus morhua (Atlantic cod)
Lineage: Eukaryota; Metazoa; Chordata; Actinopteri; Gadiformes; Gadidae
Exons: 5
Source: RefSeq, a predicted model, not a curated record